UACGAAGGGUGCAAACGUUGCUCGGAAUUAUUGGGCGUAAAGCGCACGUAGGCGGCAUUGCAAGUCGGAUGUGAAAUCCCUCGGCUUAACCAAGGAAGUGCAUCCGAAACUGCAGUGCUUGAGUACUUAAGAGGAUCGCGGAAUUCCAGGUGUAGCGGUGAAAUGCGUAGAUAUCUGGAGGAACACCGGUGGCGAAGGCGGCAUCCUGGACCAACACUGACACUGAGGAGCGAAAGCCAGGGGAGCAAACGGG
Molecule: ribosomal RNA, 253 nt
Filed under: uncultured bacterium
Lineage: Bacteria
Description: partial 16S ribosomal RNA
Rfam family: Bacterial small subunit ribosomal RNA
Source: RNAcentral